RNAcentral lists this ribosomal RNA (1522 nucleotides) under Escherichia coli. Its description in RNAcentral is "partial 23S ribosomal RNA". It matches the Rfam family "Bacterial large subunit ribosomal RNA", at positions 1291 to 2798 of the family's 2925-position model. The record is from RNAcentral. Lineage: Bacteria; Pseudomonadati; Pseudomonadota; Gammaproteobacteria; Enterobacterales; Enterobacteriaceae.
CGAAUGCUGACAUAAGUAACGAUAAAGCGGGUGAAAAGCCCGCUCGCCGGAAGACCAAGGGUUCCUGUCCAACGUUAAUCGGGGCAGGGUGAGUCGACCCCUAAGGCGAGGCCGAAAGGCGUAGUCGAUGGGAAACAGGUUAAUAUUCCUGUACUUGGUGUUACUGCGAAGGGGGGACGGAGAAGGCUAUGUUGGCCGGGCGACGGUUGUCCCGGUUUAAGCGUGUAGGCUGGUUUUCCAGGCAAAUCCGGAAAAUCAAGGCUGAGGCGUGAUGACGAGGCACUACGGUGCUGAAGCAACAAAUGCCCUGCUUCCAGGAAAAGCCUCUAAGCAUCAGGUAACAUCAAAUCGUACCCCAAACCGACACAGGUGGUCAGGUAGAGAAUACCAAGGCGCUUGAGAGAACUCGGGUGAAGGAACUAGGCAAAAUGGUGCCGUAACUUCGGGAGAAGGCACGCUGAUAUGUAGGUGAAGCGACUUGCUCGUGGAGCUGAAAUCAGUCGAAGAUACCAGCUGGCUGCAACUGUUUAUUAAAAACACAGCACUGUGCAAACACGAAAGUGGACGUAUACGGUGUGACGCCUGCCCGGUGCCGGAAGGUUAAUUGAUGGGGUCAGCGCAAGCGAAGCUCUUGAUCGAAGCCCCGGUAAACGGCGGCCGUAACUAUAACGGUCCUAAGGUAGCGAAAUUCCUUGUCGGGUAAGUUCCGACCUGCACGAAUGGCGUAAUGAUGGCCAGGCUGUCUCCACCCGAGACUCAGUGAAAUUGAACUCGCUGUGAAGAUGCAGUGUACCCGCGGCAAGACGGAAAGACCCCGUGAACCUUUACUAUAGCUUGACACUGAACAUUGAGCCUUGAUGUGUAGGAUAGGUGGGAGGCUUAGAAGUGUGGACGCCAGUCUGCAUGGAGCCGACCUUGAAAUACCACCCUUUAAUGUUUGAUGUUCUAACGUUGACCCGUAAUCCGGGUUGCGGACAGUGUCUGGUGGGUAGUUUGACUGGGGCGGUCUCCUCCUAAAGAGUAACGGAGGAGCACGAAGGUUGGCUAAUCCUGGUCGGACAUCAGGAGGUUAGUGCAAUGGCAUAAGCCAGCUUGACUGCGAGCGUGACGGCGCGAGCAGGUGCGAAAGCAGGUCAUAGUGAUCCGGUGGUUCUGAAUGGAAGGGCCAUCGCUCAACGGAUAAAAGGUACUCCGGGGAUAACAGGCUGAUACCGCCCAAGAGUUCAUAUCGACGGCGGUGUUUGGCACCUCGAUGUCGGCUCAUCACAUCCUGGGGCUGAAGUAGGUCCCAAGGGUAUGGCUGUUCGCCAUUUAAAGUGGUACGCGAGCUGGGUUUAGAACGUCGUGAGACAGUUCGGUCCCUAUCUGCCGUGGGCGCUGGAGAACUGAGGGGGGCUGCUCCUAGUACGAGAGGACCGGAGUGGACGCAUCACUGGUGUUCGGGUUGUCAUGCCAAUGGCACUGCCCGGUAGCUAAAUGCGGAAGAGAUAAGUGCUGAAAGCAUCUAAGCACGAAACUUGCC